RNAcentral lists this ribosomal RNA (433 nucleotides) under uncultured bacterium. RNAcentral describes it as "partial 16S ribosomal RNA". It matches the Rfam family "Bacterial small subunit ribosomal RNA", at positions 29 to 507 of the family's 1533-position model. The record is from RNAcentral.
AACGAACGCUGGCGGCAUGCCUAACACAUGCAAGUCGAACGAGACCUUCGGGUCUAGUGGCGCACGGGUGCGUAACGCGUGGGAACCUGCCCUUAGGUUCGGAAUAACUCCCCGAAAGGGGUGCUAAUACCGGAUAAUGUCUUCGGACCAAAGAUUUAUCGCCUUUGGAUGGGCCCGCGUUGGAUUAGCUAGUUGGUAGGGUAAAAGCCUACCAAGGCGACGAUCCAUAGCUGGUCUGAGAGGAUGAUCAGCCACACUGGGACUGAGACACGGCCCAGACUCCUACGGGAGGCAGCAGUGGGGAAUAGUGGACAAUGGGCGAAAGCCUGAUCCAGCAAUGCCGCGUGAGUGAUGAAGGCCUUAGGGUUGUAAAGCUCUUUUACCCGGGAUGGUAAUGACAGUACCGGGAGAAUAAGCUCCGGCUAACUCCGUG